UACGAAGGGGGCUAGCGUUGUUCGGAAUUACUGGGCGUAAAGCGCACGUAGGCGGAUAUUUAAGUCAGGGGUGAAAUCCCAGAGCUCAACUCUGGAACUGCCUUUGAUACUGGGUAUCUUGAGUAUGGAAGAGGUAAGUGGAAUUGCGAGUGUAGAGGUGAAAUUCGUAGAUAUUCGCAGGAACACCAGUGGCGAAGGCGGCUUACUGGUCCAUAACUGACGCUGAUGCACGAAAGCUAGGGGAGCAAACAGG
This 253-nucleotide ribosomal RNA is filed under the name uncultured bacterium. RNAcentral describes it as "partial 16S ribosomal RNA". It matches the Rfam family "Bacterial small subunit ribosomal RNA", at positions 524 to 776 of the family's 1533-position model. The record is from RNAcentral.